This 626-nucleotide ribosomal RNA is filed under the name Lactococcus lactis. RNAcentral's name for it is "bacterial SSU rRNA". It matches the Rfam family "Bacterial small subunit ribosomal RNA", at positions 75 to 686 of the family's 1533-position model. The record is from RNAcentral. Lineage: Bacteria; Bacillati; Bacillota; Bacilli; Lactobacillales; Streptococcaceae.
GGUACUUGUACCGACUGGAUGAGCAGCGAACGGGUGAGUAACGCGUGGGGAAUCUGCCUUUGAGCGGGGGACAACAUUUGGAAACGAAUGCUAAUACCGCAUAAAAACUUUAAACACAAGUUUUAAGUUUGAAAGAUGCAAUUGCAUCACUCAAAGAUGAUCCCGCGUUGUAUUAGCUAGUUGGUGAGGUAAAGGCUCACCAAGGCGAUGAUACAUAGCCGACCUGAGAGGGUGAUCGGCCACAUUGGGACUGAGACACGGCCCAAACUCCUACGGGAGGCAGCAGUAGGGAAUCUUCGGCAAUGGACGAAAGUCUGACCGAGCAACGCCGCGUGAGUGAAGAAGGUUUUCGGAUCGUAAAACUCUGUUGGUAGAGAAGAACGUUGGUGAGAGUGGAAAGCUCAUCAAGUGACGGUAACUACCCAGAAAGGGACGGCUAACUACGUGCCAGCAGCCGCGGUAAUACGUAGGUCCCGAGCGUUGUCCGGAUUUAUUGGGCGUAAAGCGAGCGCAGGUGGUUUAUUAAGUCUGGUGUAAAAGGCAGUGGCUCAACCAUUGUAUGCAUUGGAAACUGGUAGACUUGAGUGCAGGAGAGGAGAGUGGAAUUCCAUGGGUUAGCGGUUGGG